CGGCCGGACAAGUCCGUUGGGAAAUCCGCACGCUUAACGUGCGGGCGUCCAGCGGAAACUGUCCGGCUUGGGACCGGAAGACCCGAGGGGUACGUCCGGGGUAGGAGUGAAAUCCCGUAAUCCCGGACGGACCACCUGUGGCGAAAGCGCCUCGGGAAGACGGAUCCGACGGUGAGGGACGAAAGCCAGGGUCUCGAACCGGAUUAGAUACCCGGGUAGUCCUGGCCGUAAACGAUGUCCGCUAGGUGUGACGCAGGCUACGAGCCUGCGCUGUGCCGUAGGGAAGCCGUGAAGCGGACCGCCUGGGAA
RNAcentral lists this ribosomal RNA (309 nucleotides) under uncultured archaeon. Its description in RNAcentral is "bacterial SSU rRNA". It matches the Rfam family "Archaeal small subunit ribosomal RNA", at positions 526 to 834 of the family's 1478-position model. The record is from RNAcentral.